CAUAGGUUAAUGAGGCGAACCGGGGGAACUGAAACAUCUAAGUACCCCGAGGAAAAGAAAUCAACCGAGAUUCCCCCAGUAGCGGCGAGCGAACGGGGAGCAGCCCAGAGCCUGAAUCAGUGUGUGUGUUAGUGGAAGCGUCUGGAAAGGCGCGCGAUACAGGGUGACAGCCCCGUACACAAAAAUGCACAUACUGUGAGCUCGAUGAGUAGGGCGGGACACGUGGUAUCCUGUCUGAAUAUGGGGGGACCAUCCUCCAAGGCUAAAUACUCCUGACUGACCGAUAGUGAACCAGUACCGUGAGGGAAAGGCGAAAAGAACCCCGGCGAGGGGAGUGAAAAAGAACCUGAAACCGUGUACGUACAAGCAGUGGGAGCACGCUUAGGCGUGUGACUGCGUACCUUUUGUAUAAUGGGUCAGCGACUUAUAUUCUGUAGCAAGGUUAACCGAAUAGGGGAGCCGAAGGGAAACCGAGUCUUAACUGGGCGUUAAGUUGCAGGGUAUAGACCCGAAACCCGGUGAUCUAGCCAUGGGCAGGUUGAAGGUUGGGUAACACUAACUGGAGGACCGAACCGACUAAUGUUGAAAAAUUAGCGGAUGACUUGUGGCUGGGGGUGAAAGGCCAAUCAAACCGGGAGAUAGCUGGUUCUCCCCGAAAGCUAUUUAGGUAGCGCCUCGUGAAUUCAUCUCCGGGGGUAGAGCACUGUUUCGGCAAGGGGGUCAUCCCGACUUACCAACCCGAUGCAAACUGCGAAUACCGGAGAAUGUUAUCACGGGAGACACACGGCGGGUGCUAACGUCCGUCGUGAAGAGGGAAACAACCCAGACCGCCAGCUAAGGUCCCAAAGUCAUGGUUAAGUGGGAAACGAUGUGGGAAGGCCCAGACAGCCAGGAUGUUGGCUUAGAAGCAGCCAUCAUUUAAAGAAAGCGUAAUAGCUCACUGGUCGAGUCGGCCUGCGCGGAAGAUGUAACGGGGCUAAACCAUGCACCGAAGCUGCGGCAGCGACGCUGAUGCGUUGUUGGGUAGGGGAGCGUUCUGUAAGCCUGCGAAGGUGUGCUGUGAGGCAUGCUGGAGGUAUCAGAAGUGCGAAUGCUGACAUAAGUAACGAUAAAGCGGGUGAAAAGCCCGCUCGCCGGAAGACCAAGGGUUCCUGUCCAACGUUAAUCGGGGCAGGGUGAGUCGACCCCUAAGGCGAGGCCGAAAGGCGUAGUCGAUGGGAAACAGGUUAAUAUUCCUGUACUUGGUGUUACUGCGAAGGGGGGACGGAGAAGGCUAUGUUGGCCGGGCGACGGUUGUCCCGGUUUAAGCGUGUAGGCUGGUUUUCCAGGCAAAUCCGGAAAAUCAAGGCUGAGGCGUGAUGACGAGGCACUACGGUGCUGAAGCAACAAAUGCCCUGCUUCCAGGAAAAGCCUCUAAGCAUCAGGUAACAUCAAAUCGUACCCCAAACCGACACAGGUGGUCAGGUAGAGAAUACCAAGGCGCUUGAGAGAACUCGGGUGAAGGAACUAGGCAAAAUGGUGCCGUAACUUCGGGAGAAGGCACGCUGAUAUGUAGGUGAAGCGACUUGCUCGUGGAGCUGAAAUCAGUCGAAGAUACCAGCUGGCUGCAACUGUUUAUUAAAAACACAGCACUGUGCAAACACGAAAGUGGACGUAUACGGUGUGACGCCUGCCCGGUGCCGGAAGGUUAAUUGAUGGGGUCAGCGCAAGCGAAGCUCUUGAUCGAAGCCCCGGUAAACGGCGGCCGUAACUAUAACGGUCCUAAGGUAGCGAAAUUCCUUGUCGGGUAAGUUCCGACCUGCACGAAUGGCGUAAUGAUGGCCAGGCUGUCUCCACCCGAGACUCAGUGAAAUUGAACUCGCUGUGAAGAUGCAGUGUACCCGCGGCAAGACGGAAAGACCCCGUGAACCUUUACUAUAGCUUGACACUGAACAUUGAGCCUUGAUGUGUAGGAUAGGUGGGAGGCUUUGAAGUGUGGACGCCAGUCUGCAUGGAGCCGACCUUGAAAUACCACCCUUUAAUGUUUGAUGUUCUAACGUUGACCCGUGAUCCGGGUUGCGGACAGUGUCUGGUGGGUAGUUUGACUGGGGCGGUCUCCUCCUAAAGAGUAACGGAGGAGCACGAAGGUUGGCUAAUCCUGGUCGGACAUCAGGAGGUUAGUGCAAUGGCAUAAGCCAGCUUGACUGCGAGCGUGACGGCGCGAGCAGGUGCGAAAGCAGGUCAUAGUGAUCCGGUGGUUCUGAAUGGAAGGGCCAUCGCUCAACGGAUAAAAGGUACUCCGGGGAUAACAGGCUGAUACCGCCCAAGAGUUCAUAUCGACGGCGGUGUUUGGCACCUCGAUGUCGGCUCAUCACAUCCUGGGGCUGAAGUAGGUCCCAAGGGUAUGGCUGUUCGCCAUUUAAAGUGGUACGCGAGCUGGGUUUAGAACGUCGUGAGACAGUUCGGUCCCUAUCUGCCGUGGGCGCUGGAGAACUGAGGGGGGCUGCUCCUAGUACGAGAGGACCGGAGUGGACGCAUCACUGGUGUUCGGGUUGUCAUGCCAAUGGCACUGCCCGGUAGCUAAAUGCGGAAGAGAUAAGUGCUGAAAGCAUCUAAGCACGAAACUUGCCCCGAGAUGAGUUCUCCCUGACUCCUUGAGAGUCCUGAAGGAACGUUGAAGACGACGACGUUGAUAGGCCGGGUGUGUAAGCGCAGCGAUGCGUUGAGCUAACCGGUACUAAUGAACCGUGAG
Molecule: ribosomal RNA, 2731 nt
Filed under: Escherichia coli
Lineage: Bacteria; Pseudomonadati; Pseudomonadota; Gammaproteobacteria; Enterobacterales; Enterobacteriaceae
Description: partial 23S ribosomal RNA
Rfam family: Bacterial large subunit ribosomal RNA
Source: RNAcentral